RNAcentral lists this ribosomal RNA (253 nucleotides) under uncultured bacterium. RNAcentral describes it as "partial 16S ribosomal RNA". It matches the Rfam family "Bacterial small subunit ribosomal RNA", at positions 524 to 776 of the family's 1533-position model. The record is from RNAcentral.
UACGUAGGGGGCGAGCGUUGUCCGGAGAUACUGGGCGUAAAGCGCACGCAGGCGGUCUGCUAAGUUUGGAGUGACAGUUGGUGGCUUAACUGCCAAAGUGCUUCGAAAACUGACAGACUUGAGGGCUUCAGAGGGACACGGAAUUCCGGGUGGAGUGGUGAAAUGCGUAGAGAUCCGGAGGAACACCAAAGGCGAAGGCAGUGUCCUGGGGAGUACCUGACGCUCAGGUGCGAAAGCCAGGGGAGCGAACAGG